Marmota monax (woodchuck) is the source of this 3414-nucleotide long non-coding RNA. RefSeq lists it as uncharacterized. NCBI's taxonomy places the organism in Eukaryota, Metazoa, Chordata, Mammalia, Rodentia, Sciuridae. The transcript has 2 exons. The record is from RefSeq and is a predicted model, not a curated record.
GAAGGUGGGAGGGUGUGUCAGGAGUUCUGAUCGCCGGCUGCUGGAAGCACCUCCCUGGCGGUGUAAUGCCUGAUGCGAGGAGAUUGAGAGGACAGAGACGAGUUCCUCGAAGAGGGUGGGCAAGAGUAACGGACACAAAAGUGGAGAUGAGAGAACCAGUAACCAUCUUGUGAUAAUAUAUCAACUCUACUAUCAGAAGCUAUUUGUCAAGAGACCCAAUAGAAAUACGGAAAGCCUCUGAGUAUCUAAUGACCUGUCCUACCAGCCCAGGUCACCUAACAAUGUCCUUCUCUGUGAUGGGGAAAAAAUGACCCUACUUCUUGUUCAAUCCAUCAAACUUAUUACAUUAUGUUGAGUCUUACUAGCAGCCGAAAGUAAUUCCUCCUAUUACCAGCUGGCCUCAGAGGCUUCACCAGUGCUUCUCCUAGCAGUCCAAGAAGUCAUCAUCCUCAGGGGCAUAGGAAAAUCCCAGGAAUGCACUUGAGGCCCCUGAGCUGCUAGCCAUAGUAUCAGGGGUGCAGCCAAUAGACUUGGAGACUGCUUCUUGGGUGAACUCUGGGUCAAAGUGUUUCAAGUCAGCAGGUCCUGCCUGUCAACAGAAGCCAAUGAUGAGGAGAGGGCACUGGGAUCAGAGCUGCCAAAGGAACCGAAAGCCCAGGAGAGGGAUGCCAGGCCUCCCCUCAGUACCUCUUGGUGAUCCACACUUAACUGUCACUUUCCCAUGCAUCUCCAUUAAUCAUCUUAUUCCACGUGGCUGAUUUCUCUAACCCCCAGGCACCCUGCCUGCUCUACACCAAUCCUCAGACAAGUCUGUCAGUUAACCUAUAUUCACUGAAUGCUUGCCAGGCAUUGUUUAUGACACUGGAAAUAAGGGAGAACAAAAUAGAGUGAGCCUCUGCUUAUAGGAACUUGCAGUAUGUGGAGGGUAGGAGGAUUGAACAAAGCAUUUACACAAGUAGAACGUUCAGGGUCCCAGAUGGAGGAGAUAAAAGAGGGUAAUAUGGUAGAGAGGGACUGGGGCUGCUCUAACUAUUUUGCAGGAAGAGCCAUUUGAGUAAUUGUAAAAAUGAUCACAAAUUCUCCAUUUACCAUCCAGAGGUGGAGGUUCUCUAUCUUUUAAAUAUGGGUUAGCCACGUGACUUGCUUAUGCCAAUGGAACACUGACAAAUGAUUCGAGUGGAGGCUUGAAAAAAUGUGCCUUGGGAAUCAAGGUGAGAGGCUGCAGGAAGGAGAACCCAGGUGCCCUGGCAGCCUGCCAACUCCCAGACACACGAGGCAGUUCUAGAUCAAUUGACUGCUGACCACAGAUAUGAGAGAGCUCUACAGAGAAUAACUGGCCUGGCCCAGAUUUAAAAACACUAGCCAACCCAUGGAAUAUGAACAAGAUAAAAUAUUGUUGUUUAGGGCUGCGGGUAUAGCUCAGUGGUAGAGCACUUUCUUGGUAUGUGUGAGGCCCUGGGUUCAAUCUCCAGCACCCCAUAAGAAAAGAAUAUUAUUUGAAGACACCUACUUUUGGGGUGACUUGCUAUGCAGUUAGAACUAACAAAUACAGUCUGCAGAGGUGACCCAGUCAGAGGAGAAGAUAACACCCUCUGGAUGUUAUGAAGUAAGCAGGUGAGCAAGUGGAGGGGUCUGCAGAUCUACUUUCACGUGUAAGUCUUGGGCUCUGCAAAUAAACAUGCCAUACCUUCCAACUUCUCAAAAAGGUCACAGGCCAUAUGCAGUGGCACAUACCUAUAAUCCCAGCUACUUGGGAGGCUGAGGCAGGGGAAUCACAAGUUCAAGGGCAGCCUGGGUAAAUUAGCAAGACCCUGUCUCAAAAUAGAAAGGGUUGGGAGGUACUGGGGUUGUGACUCAGUGGUAAAGCGCUUGCCUUGCACAUGUGAGGCACUGAGUUCAAUCCUCAGCCCCUCAUAAAAAUAAAUAAAGGUAUUGUGCCCAUCUACAACUAAAAAAAAAUUUUUUUUUAAAGGAUUGGGAAUGUAGCUCAGUGGUAGAGUGUCCUUGGGCUCAAUCCCCAGUACAAAAAAAAAAAAAAGAAAGCCAUAGGGCUCAGAGCUCCAAGACCAGAAUGUGGAUCCUAGCUCUGGCCCUUGUUAGCCCUGUAGCCCAAGAUAAGCAGAUAUUUUCUGUUUUUCACAAAUGAAGAAUUUGAUGCCAAAGAAAAUUCUUCAAGGUCUCACGAGUGGUAGGUAGCAGAACCAGGAAUCCAUUUCCAGUACGUCUCACUCUGAUGUCCCUGUAUUGCUACAUCAUUUUGCAUUCCUUUCUAGAAUUCUGUGUAUCGUUCUCUAAGGUAUAUGGGUGAUAUCAUUCUUACUGUUAAAAUCCCAAGGAAAGAGCGCUGGAGGUUAGCAAAGGACUCUGGUAGAGAGCAUGGCUAGCUUGUGUGAGGCCCUGGAUUGAACCCCAGCACCACAAAGUUAGAAAAAUCCAAAGGGGAAAAGAAAAAAAAAAACUUUUCAAGUGCUGAACUGAAUGUAUCCUAUAUGACAACCAUUGUUAAGAAUUUGGUGCUCGAAGACACAUUCAUGAACAGGUACCAAAGAGAAAAAGUAAAUAAUGAACUAACAUUGGCUGUAUUCAGUAUGCAGCCUGGUAGAGAAAGUGGGACCCUGUGCUGCACAGGUGACGCAGAGAACCUCCCUCAUCCACCUCGAACACAGCUCCUUUCAGUCAUGGGACCACCAUAAGUUACAUUUAAACGCUCGACACCUCCACUGCGGAUCAAAGAAACAUGAUUAAAACACUAAGAGAUGCCACUUUUUAUCAGAUUUGCAAAGUGAUAAAGAGUUAAGAACAGCAUGCUGCAGAGGGUGAGGAAGAUGAAAACCCACCAGAAGACAGAACAGGAGGAAGAAGAUAGUUCUCCCUUGUGCGUGGUGAAUAGGCGAGUGCAAACCAAGGGCCUGGAAAUGGUGGUGGUCUUUAACUGUGCAGUUACCCUUCUGAAACCCACCUUCAGAAAAUAACCAGAAUUCUGGGCAAAGAUACGAUGUUCAUCAGCACAUUAUGAAAGAAAAAAAUGAUGUUAUAGUUUGGAUGUGAAGUGUCCCUCAAAAGCUCUCAUGUGAGACAAUACAAGAAGGUUCCGAGAAGAAAUGAUUGGGUUACCAGAACCUUAACCCAGUCAGUGACUUAAUCACGUGAUGGGAUCAAUUGAGUGGUAACUGAAGGCUGGUAGGGUGUGGCUGGAGGAGGUGGGGCAUUGGGGGCGAGGCUUGGGGGAUGCAUUUGGAUCUGGCAAGUGGUGUCUCUCUGCUUUCUGAUCAUCAUGUGAGCUGCUUCCCUCCACUACACUCUUCUGCCAUAUGAUGCUCUGCCUCACCUUGAGCCCCAAGGAAUGGAGCCUGCUGUCUGUGGAUUGAGACCUCUGAAACCACAAUUCCCCAAGUAAACUUUUCCUCCUCUAAA